Molecule: ribosomal RNA, 366 nt
Filed under: Pseudomonas fulva
Lineage: Bacteria; Pseudomonadati; Pseudomonadota; Gammaproteobacteria; Pseudomonadales; Pseudomonadaceae
Description: bacterial SSU rRNA
Rfam family: Bacterial small subunit ribosomal RNA
Source: RNAcentral
UCAGCGGCGGACGGGUGAGUAAUGCCUAGGAAUCUGCCUGGUAGUGGGGGACAACGUUUCGAAAGGAACGCUAAUACCGCAUACGUCCUACGGGAGAAAGCAGGGGACCUUCGGGCCUUGCGCUAUCAGAUGAGCCUAGGUCGGAUUAGCUUGUUGGUGAGGUAAUGGCUCACCAAGGCGACGAUCCGUAACUGGUCUGAGAGGAUGAUCAGUCACACUGGAACUGAGACACGGUCCAGACUCCUACGGGAGGCAGCAGUGGGGAAUAUUGGACAAUGGGCGAAAGCCUGAUCCAGCCAUGCCGCGUGUGUGAAGAAGGUCUUCGGAUUGUAAAGCACUUUAAGUUGGGAGGAAGGGNUGCAGAUU